GACGAACGCUGGCGGCGCGCCUAACACAUGCAAGUCGAACGAGAGAUGAAGAGCUUGCUCUUCAAAUCGAGUGGCGAACGGGUGAGUAACGCGUGAGGAACCUGCCUCAAAGAGGGGGACAACAGUUGGAAACGACUGCUAAUACCGCAUAAGCCCACGGCUCGGCAUCGAGCAGAGGGAAAAGGAGCAAUCCGCUUUGAGAUGGCCUCGCGUCCGAUUAGCUGGUUGGUGAGGUAACGGCCCACCAAGGCGACGAUCGGUAGCCGGACUGAGAGGUUGAACGGCCACAUUGGGACUGAGACACGGCCCAGACUCCUACGGGAGGCAGCAGUGGGGAAUAUUGCACAAUGGGGGAAACCCUGAUGCAGCGACGCCGCGUGGAGGAAGAAGGUUUUCGGAUUGUAAACUCCUGUUGUUGAGGAAGAUAAUGACGGUACUC
RNAcentral lists this ribosomal RNA (439 nucleotides) under uncultured bacterium. RNAcentral describes it as "bacterial SSU rRNA". It matches the Rfam family "Bacterial small subunit ribosomal RNA", at positions 28 to 480 of the family's 1533-position model. The record is from RNAcentral.